Molecule: ribosomal RNA, 432 nt
Filed under: uncultured bacterium
Lineage: Bacteria
Description: partial 16S ribosomal RNA
Rfam family: Bacterial small subunit ribosomal RNA
Source: RNAcentral
AACGAACGCUGGCGGCAUGCCUAACACAUGCAAGUCGAACGAGACCUUCGGGUCUAGUGGCGCACGGGUGCGUAACGCGUGGGAACCUGCCCUUAGGUUCGGAAUAACUCCCCGAAAGGGGUGCUAAUACCGGAUAAUGUCUUCGGACCAAAGAUUUAUCGCCUUUGGAUGGGCCCGCGUUGGAUUAGCUAGUUGGUAGGGUAAAAGCCUACCAAGGCGACGAUCCAUAGCUGGUCUGAGAGGAUGAUCAGCCACACUGGGACUGAGACACGGCCCAGACUCCUACGGGAGGCAGCAGUGGGGAAUAUUGGACAAUGGGCGAAAGCCUGAUCCAGCAAUGCCGCGUGAGUGAUGAAGGCCUUAGGGUUGUAAAGCUCUUUUACCCGGGAUGAUAAUGACAGUACCGGGAGAAUAAGCUCCGGCUAACUCCAU